UAGGGAAUCUUCGGCAAUGGACGAAAGUCUGACCGAGCAACGCCGCGUGAGUGAAGAAGGUUUUCGGUUCGUAAAACUCUGUUGUUAGAGAAGAACAAGGACGUUAGUAACUGAACGUCCCCUGACGGUAUCUAACCAGAAAGCCACGGCUAACUACGUGCCUGCAGCCGCGGUAAUACGUAGGUGGCAAGCGUUGUCCGGAUUUAUUGGGCGUAAAGCUAGCGCAGGCGGUUUCUUAAGUCUGUUGUGAAAGCCUCCGGCAUAACCGGGGAGAGUCAUUGGAAACUGGGGAACUUGAGAUCAGAAGAGGAGAGGUGAAUUCCAUGUGUAGCGGUGAAAUGCGUAGAUAUAUGGAGGAACACCAGUGGCGAAGGCGGCACUCUGGUCUGUAACUGACGCUGAGGCUCGAAAGCGUGGGGAGCAAACAGG
This 429-nucleotide ribosomal RNA is filed under the name Chloroflexota bacterium. RNAcentral's name for it is "Chloroflexi bacterium partial 16S ribosomal RNA". It matches the Rfam family "Bacterial small subunit ribosomal RNA", at positions 355 to 776 of the family's 1533-position model. The record is from RNAcentral. Lineage: Bacteria; Bacillati; Chloroflexota.